This 497-nucleotide ribosomal RNA is filed under the name uncultured bacterium. RNAcentral's name for it is "partial 16S ribosomal RNA". It matches the Rfam family "Bacterial small subunit ribosomal RNA", at positions 28 to 507 of the family's 1533-position model. The record is from RNAcentral.
GAUGAACGCUGGCGGCGUGCCUAAUACAUGCAAGUCGAGCGAACAGAUGAGGAGCUUGCUCCUCUGACGUUAGCGGCGGACGGGUGAGUAACACGUGGAUAACCUACCUAUAAGACUGGGAUAACUUCGGGAAACCGGAGCUAAUACAGGACAAUAUAUUGAACCGCAUGGUUCAAUAGUGAAAGACGGUUUUGCUGUCACUUAUAGAUGGAUCCGGGCCGGAUUAGCUAGUUGGUAAGGUAACGGCUUACCAAGGCAACGAUGCGUAGCCGACCUGAGAGGAUGACCGGCCACACUGGGACUGAGACACGGCCCAGACUCCUACGGGAGGCAGCAGUGGGGAAUUUUCCGCAAUGGGCGAAAGCCUGACGGAGCAACGCCGCGUGAGGGAUGAAGGUCUUCGGAUCGUAAAACGCUUUUAUUAGGGAAGAACAAAUGUGUAAGAAACUAUGCACGUCUUGACGGUACCGGAUGAGAAAGCCACGGCUAACUACGUG